GAGUGGGGGAUAACGUCCCGAAAGGGACGCUAAUACCGCAUGAUAUCCUGCUCUUGGAUGAGUGGAGAUCAAAGCUGGGGAUCGCAAGACCUGGCGCUUGAAGAGGGGCCCGCGCCUGAUUAGCUAGUUGGUGGGGUAACGGCCUACCAAGGCUACGAUCAGUAUCCGGCCUGAGAGGGCGGACGGACACACUGGGACUGAGACACGGCCCAGACUCCUACGGGAGGCAGCAGUGGGGAAUUGUUCGCAAUGGGCGAAAGCCUGACGACGCAACGCCGCGUGGAGGACGAAGAUCUUCGGGUCGUAAACUCCUGUCGAGUGGGAAGAAUGGAUCGGGGAUGAAUAUGUCCCGGUAUUGACGGUACCACUAAAGGAAGCCCCGGCUAACUCCGUGCCAGCAGCCGCGGUAAAACGGGGGGGGCAAGCGUUGUUCGGAAUUACUGGGCGUAAAGGGCUCGUAGGCGGCCAACUAAGUCGGACGUGAAAUCCCCAGGCUCAACCUGGGAACUGCGUCCGAUACUGGAUGGCUUGAAUUCGGGAGAGGGAUGCANAAUUCCAGGUGUAGCGGUGAAAUGCGUA
This 579-nucleotide ribosomal RNA is filed under the name uncultured bacterium gp6. Its description in RNAcentral is "bacterial SSU rRNA". It matches the Rfam family "Bacterial small subunit ribosomal RNA", at positions 134 to 692 of the family's 1533-position model. The record is from RNAcentral.